UACGGGGGGAGCAAGCGUUGUUCGGAAUUACUGGGCGUAAAGCGCGCGCAGGCGGUCUUCCAAGUCAGUGGUGAAAGCCCGGAGCUCAACUCCGGAACUGCCAUUGAAACUGUUAGACUUGAGGAUGAGAGAGGUGAGUGGAAUUCCCAGUGUAGAGGUGAAAUUCGUAGAUAUUGGGAAGAACACCGGUGGCGAAGGCGGCUCACUGGCUCAUUACUGACGCUCAGGCGCGAUAGCGUGGGGAUCAAACAGG
Molecule: ribosomal RNA, 253 nt
Filed under: uncultured bacterium
Lineage: Bacteria
Description: partial 16S ribosomal RNA
Rfam family: Bacterial small subunit ribosomal RNA
Source: RNAcentral